UCUCCGUAGGUGAACCUGCGGAAGGAUCAUUAACACGUCUAACAAACGUAUAACCAACCCGCGAUAUCUAAUUUAAUCAAACCCUUUCCCAUACUGGUUUAAAGUGGACUAAGUAAGCAUGUGGUGAGCAUAUACUCCAACUUGUUGGUUUUGUAUGCCCUUACUUUAUCUAGUACUCUCGAGGUGCACACUUGAAUCUUUAUGUUGUAAUUUUACCCCGUCACCAUUGGGUUGUUCAUUUCUGUCCUUUCGGGGGCUUAAAUGUUCAGCUCUCACCAAACCAAACCAUUUUAACCCUUUUUUUACUACAUUUUAGUCUGCUUGCAGGCUAUUAUUUCUGAUAUACAGGUGAUCGAAAGGUCAAUUCUGUUUGUUAUAUUAACAAAAGUACAACUCUUAGCAAUGGAUAUCUUGGUUCUC
Molecule: unclassified non-coding RNA, 420 nt
Filed under: plant metagenome
Description: partial contains small subunit ribosomal RNA, internal transcribed spacer 1, and 5.8S ribosomal RNA
Source: RNAcentral